CAACCAGGAGAUGACAUCUGUGACUGAAUAUCUAACUCUUGAUUGCACCCGUGGGGCUUCUGCUGGAUAUGGAAUUGUUUGCAAGAAAUAAUGGAAUAAUGGGUUUUAUUAGUUAAAAGAUUAGAAGCUUUUAUGGCUAUGGCUUCUGUCAAUAAUGUUAUGUAUUCGAAUACUAUAUAUAUACACAUAUAUAAUGUAACUUUUUAUAUUGUUUAUGUCUGCAUUGAUGGUUGUAUAAUGGGACACAGUAAUUGUAAUAAUAAACAUAAACCUCUGAUUCA
Molecule: long non-coding RNA, 281 nt
Filed under: Gossypium raimondii (Peruvian cotton)
Lineage: Eukaryota; Viridiplantae; Streptophyta; Magnoliopsida; Malvales; Malvaceae
Description: long non-coding RNA (GRAI_LNC007819)
Source: RNAcentral